AGUGAACGCUGGCGGUAGGCCUAACACAUGCAAGUCGAACGGCAGCACAGUAAGAGCUUGCUCUUACGGGUGGCGAGUGGCGGACGGGUGAGGAAUACAUCGGAAUCUACUUUUUCGUGGGGGAUAACGUAGGGAAACUUACGCUAAUACCGCAUACGACCUACGGGUGAAAGCAUGGGAUCUUCGGACCUUUCGCGAUUGAAUGAGCCGAUGUCGGAUUAGCUAGUUGGCGGGGUAAAGGCCCACCAAGGCGACGAUCCGUAGCUGGUCUGAGAGGAUGAUCAGCCACACUGGAACUGAGACACGGUCCAGACUCCUACGGGAGGCAGCAGUGGGGAAUAUUGGACAAUGGGCGCAAGCCUGAUCCAGCCAUACCGCGUGGGUGAAGAAGGCCUUCGGGUUGUAAAGCCCUUUUGUUGGGAAAGAAAAGCAGCAGGUUAAUACCCCGCUGUUCUGACGGUACCCAAAGAAUAAGCACCGGCUAACUUCGUG
RNAcentral lists this ribosomal RNA (492 nucleotides) under uncultured bacterium. RNAcentral's name for it is "partial 16S ribosomal RNA". It matches the Rfam family "Bacterial small subunit ribosomal RNA", at positions 29 to 507 of the family's 1533-position model. The record is from RNAcentral.